CACAACAAGCCAUAUCACCAUGCAACUCACAACUGGCUACCCACUGAAACUAAGCAGGUGUGAGCCUGGUAAGUACCUGGAUGGGAGACCUCCUGGGAAAAACUAAGGUUGUUGCUGGAA
Ribosomal RNA from Lepisosteus oculatus (spotted gar), 120 nucleotides. Lineage: Eukaryota; Metazoa; Chordata; Actinopteri; Semionotiformes; Lepisosteidae. The record is from Ensembl.